RNAcentral lists this ribosomal RNA (209 nucleotides) under uncultured prokaryote. RNAcentral describes it as "partial 16S ribosomal RNA". It matches the Rfam family "Bacterial small subunit ribosomal RNA", at positions 524 to 732 of the family's 1533-position model. The record is from RNAcentral.
GACGAACCGUGCGAACGUUGUUCGGAUUCAUUGGGCUUAAAGGGCGCGUAGGCGGCCGCUCAAGUCGGGGGUGAAAUCUUUCAGCUUAACUGGAAAAUAGCCUCCGAUACUGGGCGGCUGGAGGGAGAUAGGGGUGCGCGGAACUUCCGGUGGAGCGGUGAAAUGCGUAGAUAUCGGAAGGAACGCCGGUGGCGAAAGCGGCGCACUGG